GGGCUUGACAUCCCACGAACCUGCCUGAAAGGGCAGGGUGCCCGCAAGGGAGCGUGGAGACAGGUGGUGCAUGGCUGUCGUCAGCUCGCGUCGUGAGAUGUUGGGUUAAGUCCCGCAACGAGCGCAACCCUCACCCCUAGUUGCCACCGGGUAAAGCCGAGCACUCGAGGGGAACUGCCAGCGUCAAGCUGGAGGAAGGCG
This 201-nucleotide ribosomal RNA is filed under the name uncultured bacterium. RNAcentral's name for it is "partial 16S ribosomal RNA". It matches the Rfam family "Bacterial small subunit ribosomal RNA", at positions 977 to 1175 of the family's 1533-position model. The record is from RNAcentral.